AACGUAGGAGACAAACGUUAUCCGGAGUUACUGGGCGUAAAGGGCGUGUAGGUGGUAUCGUAAGUCUGGCGUGAAAUUUCUCGGCUUAACCGAGGCAGGUCGUCGGAUACUGCGAGGCUAGAGGACGGUAGAGGCGUGUGGAAUUCCCGGUGUAGCGGUGAAAUGCGCAGAUAUCGGGAGGAACACCAGUGGCGAAGGCGGCACUCUGGGCCGGAACUGACGCUGAGGAGCGAAAGCGUGGGGAGCGAACAGG
RNAcentral lists this ribosomal RNA (253 nucleotides) under uncultured bacterium. Its description in RNAcentral is "partial 16S ribosomal RNA". It matches the Rfam family "Bacterial small subunit ribosomal RNA", at positions 524 to 776 of the family's 1533-position model. The record is from RNAcentral.